RNAcentral lists this ribosomal RNA (255 nucleotides) under Escherichia coli. RNAcentral describes it as "partial 23S ribosomal RNA". It matches the Rfam family "Bacterial large subunit ribosomal RNA", at positions 2110 to 2364 of the family's 2925-position model. Lineage: Bacteria; Pseudomonadati; Pseudomonadota; Gammaproteobacteria; Enterobacterales; Enterobacteriaceae. The record is from RNAcentral.
CUUGACACUGAACAUUGAGCCUUGAUGUGUAGGAUAGGUGGGAGGCUUAGAAGUGUGGACGCCAGUCUGCAUGGAGCCGACCUUGAAAUACCACCCUUUAAUGUUUGAUGUUCUAACGUUGACCCGUGAUCCGGGUUGCGGACAGUGUCUGGUGGGUAGUUUGACUGGGGCGGUCUCCUCCUAAAGAGUAACGGAGGAGCACGAAGGUUGGCUAAUCCUGGUCGGACAUCAGGAGGUUAGUGCAAUGGCAUAAGC